RNAcentral lists this ribosomal RNA (253 nucleotides) under uncultured bacterium. RNAcentral's name for it is "partial 16S ribosomal RNA". It matches the Rfam family "Bacterial small subunit ribosomal RNA", at positions 524 to 776 of the family's 1533-position model. The record is from RNAcentral.
UACGUAGGGGGCAAGCGUUGUCCGGAAUCAUUGGGCGUAAAGAGCGUGUAGGCGGCCCGGUAAGUCCGCCGUGAAAGUCCAGGGCUCAACCCUGGAAUGCCGGUGGAAACUGCCGGGCUGGAGUCCGGAAGAGGCGAGUGGAAUUCCUGGUGUAGCGGUGAAAUGCGCAGAUAUCAGGAAGAACACCUAUGGCGAAGGCAGCUCUCUGGGACGGUACUGACGCUGAGACGCGAAAGCGUGGGGAGCGAACAGG